This 225-nucleotide long non-coding RNA is filed under the name Lathyrus oleraceus (garden pea). RNAcentral's name for it is "Pisum sativum (pea) long non-coding RNA (PSAT_LNC031758)". The record is from RNAcentral. Lineage: Eukaryota; Viridiplantae; Streptophyta; Magnoliopsida; Fabales; Fabaceae.
UGAAAAAUAUUCUCAUCAAUUUAUUAAUUGAUUUGAGAUUUUAGUUCAAUUAGGUUAUUUUUAUUCAUUUUUAAUUGAUUAAAAAUAGUUUCUGACUUUUAAAAAUGUUGAAAUUUUUUGUCAAACCUUGUUUGACCUUGUUGAACUUAGGAUAAAUCACUUGGACCUUCCAAGGUUGAUUUGAGGUGAUUUUGAAGUUUGACCUUUCUUUAAUAUUUUAAUUCA